This 169-nucleotide small nuclear RNA is filed under the name Phlebiopsis gigantea 11061_1 CR5-6. Its description in RNAcentral is "U2 spliceosomal RNA". It matches the Rfam family "U2 spliceosomal RNA". From Rfam's summary of the family: U2 is a small nuclear RNA (snRNA) component of the spliceosome (involved in pre-mRNA splicing). Complementary binding between U2 snRNA (in an area lying towards the 5' end but 3' to hairpin I) and the branchpoint sequence (BPS) of the intron results the bulging out of an unpaired adenosine, on the BPS, which initiates a nucleophilic attack at the intronic 5' splice site, thus starting the first of two transesterification reactions that mediate splicing. Lineage: Eukaryota; Fungi; Basidiomycota; Agaricomycetes; Polyporales; Phanerochaetaceae. The record is from Rfam by way of RNAcentral.
UCACCACUCUGGCCUUUUGGCUUAGAUCAAGUGUAGUAUCUGUUCUUAAUAGUUUAACCACUAUUAUGAGGGCACCGCCCUCAUUCUUGGUUAUCUANCGAGCUCUGCUUGCAACUCGGGGGCACGAUGACCUUGCCACUGCAGUAUCGGCUUGCGUCGUCGGGGGAUC